RNAcentral lists this ribosomal RNA (451 nucleotides) under uncultured bacterium. Its description in RNAcentral is "bacterial SSU rRNA". It matches the Rfam family "Bacterial small subunit ribosomal RNA", at positions 28 to 505 of the family's 1533-position model. The record is from RNAcentral.
GAUUAACGCUGGCGGAAUGUAUAAUACAUGCAAGUCGAGCGAGAAGCCUUGGUAGCUUGCUACUAAAGGUGGACAGCGGCGAACGAGUGAGUAACACGUUGGUACCUGCCCCGAACUCAGGGAUAAGCACUGGAAACGGUGUCUAAUACCGGAUAGUCCCGCAAGGGUAAAGAGUUUUCGGUUCGGGAGGGGCCUGCGGCCUAUCAGCUAGUUGGUGUGGUAAAGGCGCACCAAGGCAAUGACGGGUAACUGGUCUGAGAGGAUGACCAGUCACGAUGGGACUGAGACACGGCCCAUACUCCUACGGGAGGCAGCAGUAGGGAAUCUUCCACAAUGGACGAAAGUCUGAUGGAGCAAUUCCGCGUGAUUGAUGAAGCGUCUAGGCGUGUAAAGAUCUUUUCUGGGGGAAGAAUUAUGACGGUACCCUAGGAAUAAGCACCGGCUAACUCCG